UGGGGAAUAUUGCACAAUGGGCGCAAGCCUGAUGCAGCCAUGCCGCGUGUGUGAAGAAGGCCUUCGGGUUGUAAAGCACUUUCAGCGGGGAGGAAGGCGUUAAGGUUAAUAACCUUGGCGAUUGACGUUACCCGCAGAAGAAGCACCGGCUAACUCCGUGCCAGCAGCCGCGGUAAUACGGAGGGUGCAAGCGUUAAUCGGAAUUACUGGGCGUAAAGCGCACGCAGGCGGUUUGUUAAGUCAGAUGUGAAAUCCCCGGGCUCAACCUGGGAACUGCAUCUGAUACUGGCAAGCUUGAGUGUCGUAGAGGGGGGUAGGAUUUCAGGGGUAGCGGUGAAAUGCGUAGAGAUCUGGAGGAAUACCGGUGGCGAAGGCGGCCCCCUGGACGAAGACUGACGCUCAGGUGCGAAAGCGUGGGGAGCAAACAGG
Molecule: ribosomal RNA, 429 nt
Filed under: Chloroflexota bacterium
Lineage: Bacteria; Bacillati; Chloroflexota
Description: Chloroflexi bacterium partial 16S ribosomal RNA
Rfam family: Bacterial small subunit ribosomal RNA
Source: RNAcentral